This 429-nucleotide ribosomal RNA is filed under the name uncultured bacterium. RNAcentral describes it as "bacterial SSU rRNA". It matches the Rfam family "Bacterial small subunit ribosomal RNA", at positions 28 to 437 of the family's 1533-position model. The record is from RNAcentral.
GACGAACGCUGGCGGCGUGCCUAAUACAUGCAAGUCGAACGGUCUUUUCUAUGGAAGCUUGCUUCCGCUGAGAAGAUAGUGGCGGACGGGUGAGUAACACGUGGGUAACCUGCCCAUAAGAGGGGGAUAACAUCCGGAAACGGGUGCUAAUACCGCAUAGUUUUCUUGAUCGCAUGAUUGAGAAAGGAAAGACGGCCUUUGUGCUGUCGCUUAUGGAUGGACCCGCGGCGUAUUAGUUAGUUGGUGAGGUAAUGGCUCACCAAGACGAUGAUACGUAGCCGACCUGAGAGGGUGAUCGGCCACAUUGGGACUGAGACACGGCCCAAACUCCUACGGGAGGCAGCAGUAGGGAAUCUUCCGCAAUGGACGAAAGUCUGACGGAGCAACGCCGCGUGAGUGAAGAAGGUUUUCGGAUCGUAAAACUCUGUU